GGCGGUACUAUACACCACGCUCACUAUAGCAUCAGCUACAGUAAUUGUUUUUGCCUUUUUUUAAUCUAUUUUUUCUCGGGCGUUACACCAUCUCCCUCACCUCUCUUCCACUCUUUCACUUAGGGUUAGGUUUUCUAGUGUUGUAGAGAGGUCCCAUAAACUGAAAAAUUUAUGGUGUAUUUUUUUUUGUGAUUUUGAUAUGGGAAAGGAGAUCCAAAUAAUCCUUUUGUCCUCCGGUGUCUGUCACUGUACUGAGUUUUUGAGCUUUUUCCCUAUUUUUCGUGCUUACCUUCUAUCUCGAUUUUCUAGAGUUUGGAUCAAUCUCAGACAAUAAUUUUAUUUGGAAUAACUUCGUGCUAGAUUAAAUUAUAUGUGUGCAGAAUCUGAGCUCAAAAGCUUUUGAAUCGAGAGAGAUACUUUCGUUCUCGUGUUUGCUCCCUUUUCUCCUUGGUUCUUGCGUGCACAGAGCAGUUGGUCGGACAGCAGUUCCUCGACGCAGUCCCAGCCAACCAUUGCAGACCCCGACGG
RNAcentral lists this long non-coding RNA (528 nucleotides) under Sorghum bicolor (sorghum). Its description in RNAcentral is "long non-coding RNA (SBIC_LNC001233)". The record is from RNAcentral. Lineage: Eukaryota; Viridiplantae; Streptophyta; Magnoliopsida; Poales; Poaceae.